GAAAUGCGAUAAGUAGUGUAAAUUGCAGAAUUCAGUGAAUUAUCAAAUCUUUGAACGCACAUUGCGCCCCUUAGUAUUCUAUAGGGCAUACCUGUUCAAGCGUUAUUUGUACCCUCAAGCUCUGCUUGGUGUUAGGUGUUUGUCCACUCCCUGUGUGUAGACUCGCCUCAAAGCAAUUAGCAGCCAGUGUUUUGGUAUUGAAGCGCAGCACAUUUUGCGAUUCCUGCCAGUAACACUAGCGUCCAGUAAGCCUUUUUCCACUUUUGACCUCAGAUCAGGUAGGGAUACCCGCUGAACUUAA
This 301-nucleotide unclassified non-coding RNA is filed under the name uncultured Pleosporales. RNAcentral's name for it is "sequence contains ITS1". The stretch from base 1 to 105 matches the Rfam family "5.8S ribosomal RNA", at positions 50 to 154 of the family's 154-position model. The record is from RNAcentral. Lineage: Eukaryota; Fungi; Ascomycota; Dothideomycetes; Pleosporales.